Molecule: ribosomal RNA, 436 nt
Filed under: uncultured Mogibacterium sp.
Lineage: Bacteria; Bacillati; Bacillota; Clostridia; Peptostreptococcales; Anaerovoracaceae
Description: bacterial SSU rRNA
Rfam family: Bacterial small subunit ribosomal RNA
Source: RNAcentral
ACGGAAGGCAGCAGUGGGGAAUAUUGGACAAUGGGCGAAAGCCUGAUGCAGCAACGCCGCGUGAGUGAUGAAGGUCUUCGGAUUGUAAAACUCUGAUCUAAGGGAAGAAACAAAUGACGGUACCUUAGGAGAAAGCCCCGGCUAACUACGUGCCAGCAGCCGCGGUAAUACGUAGGGGGCAAGCGUUAUCCGGAAUUAUUGGGUGUAAAGAGUGCGUAGGUGGUUACCUAAGCGCAAGGUUUAAUCUUGAGGCUUAACCUCAUUCUGCCUUGCGAACUGGGCUACUUGAGUGCAGGGGGGGAAAGCGGAAUUCCUAGUGUAGCGGUGAAAUGCGUAGAUAUUAGGAAGAACACCGGUGGCGAAGGCGGCUUUCUGGACUGUAACUGACAGUGAGGCACGAAAGCGUGGGGAGCAAACAGGAUUAGAUACCCUGGUA